CGAGAGCUAAUCUUAAAGCAUUGACCAGCAUACCCACAGGAAUUAGUCAUCUGUAUCAAAAGCAAAAUAAACUCAUGCAGGAAAUACAGUAUGAAAGGAUUACUAGGAACCACUACGGGCUCACGUGAGGUUCAUGGUACUGGAUUCAAGGUGACAAGAGUCAGCAUGGGAGUGUGUAUAUGCUGGUCUUUCUCCAAUCAUUGUCUAAAUGCUCAGGUGAGCUCUGGAAUUCGCACUUCAGCCAGCUCUGGGGUGUUAACAGCUGUGUACAAGCAAAGGCACUAAGGAAUUAAGAAAGUAACUACGGUGUUGGACCUGAGAAUACAUGGAAGAUAAAGAAGGAAAGAUGACAUGAAGAUACGAUGCAUCAUGAGAAGAUAAUGGUUCAGCUCACUGGAAGUUCUGGUGGGGCCAGAGAACUGGAUGUAAGCACAAGAGAGGGAUAGAACUCCAUGAGCAGUAUUCUACAGGCAAACAAAUCUGCAGUGACCGAGACUACUCUUUACUGAUCAGCUGACUGCUGAUGAAGAAUGACUUCAAGAAACUGUGCAAAGUGCUGAGGAAGCAGGCUUGAGAAGAGGGGUGCUGAUCUGAAAUGUGUAUUUGUGUGAAUAGAAGAAAAAUAAUAGCUAAUAGUAAACAUUG
This is a long non-coding RNA of Suricata suricatta (meerkat), 645 nucleotides long. RefSeq lists it as uncharacterized. The record is from RefSeq and is a predicted model, not a curated record. Lineage: Eukaryota; Metazoa; Chordata; Mammalia; Carnivora; Herpestidae. The transcript is spliced from 2 exons.